Long non-coding RNA from Panicum virgatum (switchgrass), 581 nucleotides. RefSeq lists it as uncharacterized. The transcript is spliced from 3 exons. NCBI's taxonomy places the organism in Eukaryota, Viridiplantae, Streptophyta, Magnoliopsida, Poales, Poaceae. The record is from RefSeq and is a predicted model, not a curated record.
UACAUCCUAUCUCAGAUCUCCAAACAAACGCACCCUAAGCCGCUGCCUUGCCGUCACCUCAGCUCGGUCCGGCCACCCUGCCCUCGAGGAUUCACUUGGAGCGAACCGUCAUGGGGUUCGCGGGCUGGUACCUGAAGAUCGCGGCGGUCGGGGCCUCCAUAGGUGCCGCCAUGGAGCUCUUCAUGGUCCACACCGGCUUCUAUGAGAAGGUGACCGUCUUUCGUUUCAAAAAAAAUAAAAAAUAAAAAAUUCGUUUCAAAAAAAGAAGGUGACCGUCUUGGAGUCUGAAAAACGAGCUUGGGAAAGCAGUCCAGAGGCCCAGGCAAUGAGAGAAGUCCUGAAUCCAUGGCGCAAGCAUGAUGAACAACAGAAGAAAUAGUCAUGAGUUAUGUGUCCUGUCAAGUGUUUGCAUCCUCCAUUUAUAGACUCCUUGAAUGAGUGAUUUCAAAGCAGCAAGGGACUGAUCAAGGAGUUUCUCUGGAAACUUGCUGAAGGUGCUUACAACUUGAUGAUCGACUUGCAGCAGUAGCAUAAGCUGGUUUUGUUCUUCUGAAUAGGACUAUGCUCGAUGCUAACCCCAG